RNAcentral lists this ribosomal RNA (465 nucleotides) under uncultured bacterium. Its description in RNAcentral is "partial 16S ribosomal RNA". It matches the Rfam family "Bacterial small subunit ribosomal RNA", at positions 28 to 523 of the family's 1533-position model. The record is from RNAcentral.
GAUGAACGCUGGCGGCGUGCCUAACACAUGCAAGUCGAGCGAACCCUUCGGGGUGAGCGGCGGACGGGUGAGUAACGCGUGGGUAACCUGCCCUGUACACACGGAUAACAUACCGAAAGGUAUGCUAAUACGAGAUAAUAUAUUUUAAUCGCAUGGUUAAGAUAUCAAAGCUCCGGCGGUACAGGAUGGACCCGCGUCUGAUUAGCUAGUUGGUGAGGUAAUGGCUCAACAAGGCGACGAACAGUAGCCGACAUGAGAGGGUGAUCGGCCACACUGCAACUGGGACACGUGCCAGAAUCCUAGGGGGGGGAGCAGUGGGAAUAUUGCAAAAUGGGCGAAAGCCUGAUGCAGCAACGCCGCGUGACCGAUGAAGGCCUUCGGGUCGUAAAGCUCUGUCCUCAAGGAGGAUAAUGACGGUACUUGAGGAGGAAGCCCCGGCUAACUACGUGCCAGCAGCCGCCGUAA